ACAGCAUGUCUGAUGAUGCAACAUACCGUUAGGGAUGUGAUGAGCAGAGGUACCAGACAGCUCUCCUGCUGCAGCUGAUGUUGCUCCAGGCCCUGAAGAAACAAGAGAGGAAUAAAGCAGGACGUGGCUGUGUACACAGAGGCAGCACAAAGCACUGCUCACCACCAGCAGCCCCACUCCCAGCACUGGGCACUGGUCCCACCUCCUCCAUGUGGCAGCUCUGCAGUCCCGGUAGCACUGGAAAUGAAAAGAGUUCCAUUUACGAUGUUGUUCUCAGGCUCUGUAAAUGAAUGUCUUGAUGACUUCAUUGGGAAUUCCUCAUGGACAAGAAGGAGAAAGGGUCAUCUGAGUUCUCCUGAAGAUGGGAGGCAGGGCCAGAGAGGCCCCAGCAACGUUCCUAAGGCACAGAAUGUCACCUGCUGCCUCUUCUCCUACAGUUCCACACCAAGUUUCAGGUGAACGUUGGCUGAGAGAGAAGGAAUAAAGCAGUGUUUUACAGCAGCCCAGCAGCACAGGAGGAUCUGGCAGUACUGGUGAAGUCCUUUCUCUGAACCAGACAACAGAAGCUGCUCUCCUAGUUCAUGGUUGCUCCUUCCCACUGGCAAACAACCUCGGGGAAUCUGCUUUCAGGUUGAGCCUGCUGCAAGGUGGAGGUGAAGAAAUGCGCAUCCAUCCUUUUUUGCCUUCUUGUUGCAGAACUCACCAACAAGACCAUUCAGGACUGAAUUCAUUUCCAGAUCUCCUUUUGGCAGCUGGAUGAGAAAGAAAUGCCACCACAAAGGAGGGAUCGCUGAGGCGAGGCUGAAGUUGUAUUCAAAGGCAACAGCAGUGCUGUGCAUUGCAGAUGUCAUAGAAUCACCACCGUGAUCAGUCAGCCUCUUCCCUGGAGUGACUCUGAGUUCUGGCUGCAUUUGGGGAAAUCAAGACCUGAGCAGAUCCUUUUUUAUUUCCAGUCAUUCUCAGGAAAGCACUGCUCGUCGAGUUGGGCCUAGCAAUAUGGCAGCGCACGUUCGGUAAGGGAUCUCAUCAAGUGCUGCUACGAGGACCAUGUGCUCUCUGCCCCAUUGCCUCGAGUGCACGCGCUGCAGGGUGAAGGCCUUUGGAAAGCUGGGGAUUCUCAUUGCACGUGGGCUCCUACCUAAAAGCUUUCCUGGUUUUGCACAGAUGCCGAACCCUUGCAGCUCCUGUUCUUGGUCUGAAUUUUGGGUGCUGAGAACUCUGGAAAAGCCGAAUGCUAUAAAGGAAGAAAUGCUGUCAGAUAGCAGAGAGCUGGAGCUGGGGGAAUUUUCUGGAUCGGUUCGUGAAGCGAAAGGAUUCUUUCUCUUUAAAAAUAGAAUGACAAUAGCACCCCGGCCCAGUAAUGACUUCUCUGAAAGUUAAAACAACUCUGAGGCAGUUGCUCUGCUUCCACCGGGCUGCCAGCAUGGAAACGAGACCACUUCUUGCGGGAUGGGGGUAUGUGUUUAUUGCACUGCUGUCUGCACACAAAAACUGCUCUUUCUUAACUGGCUGCACCGUUAGCGAUACGCCGCUGGUGCUGGCCAUGACUCUUUCAGUGCUGUGUAACCAUCAGUGAAGUAGGAGAAACAAAAACAAAACCAACAAACCCGCUGAUCUCCUGCUUUCUUUUAUUUAUUUUAAAGUUGGUUUUGUUUUACUGAGGUUUUGAAGGGAACUGUAGCAACAGUGCUAAUGGUGUAGCAAAGCCAAGAGGCGGCUCUUCCCCCCUGGGGGAAGCGGCGUUGAGGUGCUGAGGGGCACGAAGGCUGCUGCCUGCUAACAGCUCUGACAUUUCAUUUGCAGAAAUGCUUUUCCUCUUUUAAAACAAAAACAAAACCAACAAACCAAAGCCCAAAGCCAAACCUAACAAAUUGCAGAAGAGACCCAUGCCUGUUGCCACAAACCCGUAGAUCCGAACUUGUGGUCAUAUUCCACACAAGCUUGUAUCUAUAGGUAUGUGUCUGUCUGGCAAGUGCACAAAGUGUUGUGUUUCUGCAUUUACACUGAUGAUGUUCGAUUCUGCUGUUUGUCUCUUUCGUCUAAUGCCUUCUUCCCUCCUUUUUUUUUCUUUUUAAGAAAUGUAAAAUCAGAGCUGCAAAUCUCGCUCUGCAAUUACCGUAUCGGUUUCCAGCUUGGGUUAGGUGUUAAAAUACGUUCAUACCAACUAACAACUCGUUUGUGCCUGAGCGAAAUGGGACGGGGGAGGUCUGUGACAUCAGCCUGAAGAAAUGAAAUCUCAGCUACGUUACACGUGGGUCUGGCUGCGGGGCAUGGGCAGGGGUGGCUCUGAGGUUGUUGGGAGCAGAGAAAGCUGUUUCAUUUAUAAAGUGAUGGGGAUCCGUUCUUCGCUCAGUGACGAUUUGUUUGUGGGAGCAAGAGGUGCUUCUGUUGUGUUCUUUAUUUUGGGUAACUUCAGUCCCUGUGCACAGUGCAGCCGUGCAGCUCAGCGCCACAGCCUCCCGUUGGCUCUCCAACUCCUUUCUCCCUCUAAAAUCAGCUCAGUGUAGAAGCCAGGUUCUCUUAAUUUUGUGGUAUUUAUUUCGUUUCAAAUGGUUUUUAAAGUAGAGCAGGGGAAAAACCCAUGUAAGCAGGCAGUAUGAAACCUGCUGGGCAAAACUGACAUUUCUAAGUGGAACAAUUACUUUUGAAGAAGUUUUUUUCAACCCCAACAUACAGAUCCUAUGUGAAAAUAAUUAGAAUGUGAACUCAAAAUAAAGUCUGACUGUUUCUUUCCAGUGUUAAUUUCACCAAAGAUUUGGUCUGUAUUUCCACUUUUAAAUUUCUCUGUUUUUGAACUUGGCUGGUUUGACACACACUGCUGCGGUCCAAAAAUGGUUUUUUUUUUUUUGGUUUUUUUUUUUUUCCUCCCUUGCUGAAUUUCCAGGGUUUUCUAUGUGUUUUCUACUUAUUGUAGAUGCAUAAAACAAUGGCAGAGAGCUAACAGAACUGCAGUCUAACUGCUUUUGUUUCUCCGUGUGGAUUGAAACUAGCAAGAGGUGACCAAGAAGGAUGCAGGAUGCUCUUCCAGGCAAAGCUGUUACAAAGCCACAGUGAAGCCUUGCUGUGAUUUACUGCCCUGAAAAUGCACCUGGAGUCCAGAUCUCCCCUGGGCAUUGGUUGCCAUCACCUGUGAAGUUGCUGGAAGCUCCCAGUGCUCAAAAAGUGCUUCCUGACUCCUCCUUCCCCUCUGCUAGUGGACGUUGUAUCUGCCGUGGUGGAACGAAUAGGGUUUCUCCUGCAGUAGAUGCAGGAUGAGAUUGCAUGUUGUGACAGUGAGGUUCGUUUUUUCUAGAGAAGCUGUUAUGGUUUUGCUGUUUUUCUUUUGUUUUUAAAUGCUGUGAAUAUUCAGUGUAUUAGAUUCCUGUGUUUGUGGCUAUCAGGGAAGCCUUGGCUGAUUCAGUCUGACCUCUGAAGAGGAGUGAUUUGGACAAGUGAAGUUCCCAGUAUAAUGUGUGUUUGUGCAUGGUGGUCUCUUCCCUGUAAAGCCAUGUGGAGACAUCAGGCAUCUGGCAAUGUGCUGAGAGAAACCUGGAAUUUGUCGCUGAGCAUUUUGGAGUCUGCCACUUCAGGUGCCAUUGCGUUGGGAGUGCCAAAAAUCCAUGGCAAGGGAACUGGGCUCGUGUGUCACGAAAUGAGGUACCACCCUUGGGCUUGUGGGGAAUUUGAAAGCAUACUUUUGGAUUAGAAGAAUCAGUAUUUGAGUCAAAGGAGAGGGAAGAGUGCAAAACUACUUUGGGUACAGUAUUUUAGUGCAGUUCCUCACCAUGCUGGGCUCUGCUGAUCAAUAUCCAGCUUUCUUCUUUUGGAGAGAGACUUGACCUCACCAUGGCUGGAUGCUUAGAAAGCAAACAUGAGCGAUGUGCCAUCAGCUGCCUGCCCGUGCUGCUGGGCUCCCUUCUGGUGCUCAGCUUGCUUUCUGGUCGCUGCUGGUUUUCUGCUGCUUGGCAAAGGACAAGGGCAGCUGUGCCCCUGCAUGGGGAUGCAGCAGCUCAGCCCAGUGUGAGCUGGAGAUGCUCCAUAGUCUGGGGGACAAGUGGACAUGGUGCAGAGCACACCCACAACACGUCACUAAUUUUUUAAUUUAUUUUAGUUAAUUUUCUUUGCUAGGCUCCUGCCAGCCUUUUUUAGCCGUAGCCUCUGUUACUCUCCCCAGCCCCUUUGUUUUUCAGCUCAGCCUUUUGAAAAGAGCUGUAUUGUGUUUUUGGCGUUAAUUUGUAUGUCUUUUCCAUUGGUUGUAUUUCACUGCACUUCAUUAAGUUUUAGAGUGAAACUCGAGUCUGACAAAAUGAUGGGAAGAACCUUGAAAUGUGUCUUCCCUCUAGGAUGGAAGAAACUAAUUGGAGGCUGCGGUGCUUCUACCUGGAUGUUUCUCGUGAAUAUUUUCCCUCGCUUAGUUGAUGAGGAGCUCACAUUUAUGCAGCAGCUUUGAUCUGAGUGCCAGACAGAGUGCACAGAGAUCUCUUCAUCUGUCACCGAGGCACAGUGGCUGCAUCCCAUUGCGCCGGCGUGCUGCAGGGUCACCGUGGGCAGGGAGUGCUGGAUGCUUUGCCCAGUUUGAUGUUGCAGGGAAUAGAAAGAAAGACAAGGCAGCUACUGGAGCUGGAAACAAACCAGAGCCCUUCAUGCAGAAUGUACCAGGAGGGCCUCUGGGACAUGAAAAAAUCACAGUAUCCUCUCAGCAAUUGGUACCUUGAUCAGCACAGUGCAUUCUCUAGCUAUAAGCUGUCAUUGCUUUUGCACCUCCCAGGAAAAAAUGCCUCCAGUGGAACUGACCUGGCUAUGUGUGCAUCUAGGGAAGCUCUGCUAACAGUAGUUGUUGCUCCGUUUCUCCAGUUAGUGCAGAGGCAAAAGUUCUUGCCUGAAGAAAAAAAGCAAACCUUUACCAAAGCGAGCUCCUCUUGUUCUUCAGAUUUGGUAAAUCAUGGUUUUCUCCCUCAAAAUAACAAGACUGCUUCUCCUUUCUGUUAAUGGCACCUUUCACUGAAAGGCCAUUUGCAGACAGGUGUGUUGCACAGCAUCCGCUGGGGUGCAAGAAUGAUUUCACUUGCGUGCUCCCCCUUUUCCCAGUCUCAUCUGGUGCAGAGCACAGCGAGCGGUGUCAGCAGAGAGGAGCACACAAUAGCAUUCGGGUAAUUAGGAUAACCAUAUGCAGUGGCAAAUGGGAAUCAUGAUAAGCAGAAUGUGAUUGUGUACCCUGGAAUUUGAACCUUAUCCAAACAGUCUUAUUCAGAUGAUCAAAUCUCGUCGAACUCCUAAAAGGCAGAUAAAUUACUAUUUCAGUAAUCUGAAUUUUUUUUUUUAUUUAAAUUAGUUCUUUGUUUAUUUGUUUUUUAAUCAGUGAGGGAGAAAAUAGGGAGAGAUGUUCUUAGACGUGGGUGUUUGGGACUAAGACCCCCAUCCUUGAGCCAGGCAGUCUUCAUCACGUAGGAGCUUCAGCCCCAGUGAUCUGAAGGAGGAACGUCCUUGCAAAACCAGCAUUGGCUCUGGGACCUCCUCAUGCUAUGCAGAGUCUCCAACAAGAACGUUCAACCUGGGCUCUCUUAGCUUCCCACCUUCCCAUAAAGCAGUAUGGUCUGCUCAGCCAUAGAACAGACCUGGGCCUGUGGGUUUUGGGGAUUAUUUAGAGUCAUCAGCCAUGCAGCUUGCCUACCAGCAUCACUGAGCCACUCCUGGGCCCAGCUACUGACACAAAGCUCUCCGUGCUUCAGCAGUAAGAGCUUGGCUACCCUUCCCCUAGAAACUACCAGAUCCUGAAAUGUGAUAUUGAGUAAAUCUUCAGAUUGCUGUAACCCUUGCUAAAAAUUCAAGCACGGACCAUUUUUGUAAUGUGUUGAAAAGUUUUGGGUCGCUUUCAUAAUACUGUAGCUGCUCUGGAUGUCAGCUGAGCCCAGAUGAGAUUUCUUACUUUAAUUUGCAGACUCUGAAAGUCCCAGCCCAGCUCAGCCCACCUGCCAGGCUUCUAGGAGUAAACCUGAGCUGGAGUAAACCUUCAAACCUCUUGAGGUUCCUCAACUCGAGUCCUGAUAGUGAAACUGCAUCAAACAAAGCUCGAUGGGUGAGCUGAUCAGAUGGAACCACGUCAGCAUUUCCAUUGUCAAAUCUCAUCUGCCUGAGGUUUUUGAAAGCCCUCUGUUGAACAGAUCACUCCGAGCUGAAGUUUAGCAAACAAGAUUUCUGACCUCAAACCGGAACAAUAUCAUUUGUGGGUUUGGGUAUUUAUUUUUUUUUCUCCAUGACUUCAGGAAAUGUGUUUGCUUCAGGAGUAUUUUCUGCUUUCCACCUCCUCCUUGGCAAGCCCUGCUGUUGCCUGCCUGGGAUCUGAACGUGAAGGUGGGCUCUUCUUUCUUCUGUAUCCUUCACGAUCAAAAAGGCUCAGAGCCAAAUCUCAGCUGAUCAUCUUGCAGCUGAUCAUAACAAAACAGAAUUCUGCUUCCUCGAGCUCAUCUGUCCUGAAGUUCCAUUCGUUGCUGUCUCAAUUCUGUAUGGUCAAUAGGAGUGAUCUGCGAAUGCAGACACGCUGUGGUAUAGUUUAGGAGUAGCAAUAUGUGGGGCACUGCUUUUUGUGUCAUUGUUUUUUGGGGGGUAUUAUACCCUCUGAAGAGCUGUUUUUCUAUGGAAUGUGCUGCUUUGCAUUGCAGAAUGUUUUAAAAGAAUGGAAUAUUCCAUUAAAUCCUUGAAAAGCAGCGCUGGAUUAGAAUUCAGCCAACAUUCUUGGGAAACCAAAUGUAAAGUUUGGCUUCGUCCAACACAGAGUAAGGAAGGCAGGUUUCUGUGUUCUGCUGUCACCUGAAGUCCUUGGGGGGAAAAGGAGGUAAAACGAGCACAGCUCUGCAUUCCUUCCCCAUCCAGGCUCCACCUGCACCUCCAUCUGAUGUUGCCUGGGGUCCAUGGGCUGCUGUUCACUCUGAAGAUGCAUUAACUUACGUAGGAAUGUGUGGCUCUGCAUUGCAAUGCAAUGCUCCCCACAACUAUAUUUAAUAGAGACUUUUAUAACAUUGAUACGUAUCAUAAUUGAACAUUGUCAUUAGAUUACAUAUUCACCCUAAUUACAUAAUUACGUAUGAUUGUGCUAAUUGAGGAAAGACAUAAUUGACUAAAAUCACCCAAAAACAAACACGGGGAGUCACGCCACCAAAAGGCAGUGCUAUAAUAGACAGCAGUGCUGGAAAUCUCUCCUGUUCUCCUCCCAGAAGAGCAACAUUCCUGGUUCAUAGGCAAUUACCAAACAGACAGAUGUAGUGAAGGUGCUGGGUGAUGGUAAUUAGGUGACUUCUGUUUUAAUAUUUGAUCUCAGCUCCUCAGCUCAGCUCCUCGUGUCAGUAGUAGCAGCAGAUACUCUAAUUGAUGGCAUGACUAGCUGCGUGAUGCUUCUUUUCUGCUUGAAAUGACUGUUCCUCCGGGGUGCAAAUACACUUUCAUCCAUCCUGGCUUCAUCUGAGCUUGAAAUGGUGGGAACAGAAUAUCUCAUUCUGAGACCAGGCUCUCAGUGAUGGCAAAUCUCGCCCUGAUAAUCUGUUCAGCAGCUGCAGGGGUGUCUAAAAAUUGGCCAGAAGGGUGAGUAUGGGACAGGAACUGCUUCAGUGUUUAAAAAUACUUUAUCUUAAAGUCUCUGUUUUUGUUGUUUUUGUUUUUUUCUUUAAAGCAGCUCUGAAGCAAGCAUAGGUCACAUACAGGUCCACAGAAAGGCUUGUUUAUUCCUAUCGCAUUGUUUUGAAGGGGCUUUGGGUAUAUGGGAGCUGGUGUAAAGGGAUGUAUAGGAACUGGGACACGAAUAUUGUCUCGGUGAGAGCCCUGCCCCAUGCUGGGAUGCUGCCCCAGCACCUUGGGGUGGGAGGAAGCCCAGCGGGGUGCAGCUCCCAGCUCCCUGCAGUGCUGGGGAGGCAGCGAGAACGCUCCUUGAGUGAGUGCCAGCACAGAGCUGACAGCUCAGGGCUCGGGAAACGUGGCAAUGAGGAGGAAGCUGAAGUUGUGAUGGAAGGGAGGCAGGGAGAGGUGGCGAGUCAGGAGCAAAGCAGUCACGGUGGCAUUUGCCAACCUGCGAAAAAUUUAGGCUAUUUAGGCUCAAGGUGAGAAUAUUGCUCAUGAAGUAUUUUCUCUUAUGUCUGUGAAAGGACCUUUGCUGAGCUGAGGAUGUGACUGAAACAAGCCAGUUUUUCUUCCCUUUCUAUUUUGGAGUGAAUUCUUGGAGGAUGUUUUGCUCAGCACUGUUUGUAACUGCCUGGUCUGCAAGGUGUCCCAUCACAGUGCUGACGUUAGCAGUGAUCUCCUUCAUUAGAAUGAUUAGAUGCUGAUAACCAUUCUUUAAAUGUUUUGAAUUGCAUUAUUUCUGACGUUUGUAGCAAAGUUGAGAUGCAGGGAAGUACUUCACAGAUAAACUGUAGAGAACACGUGUAGCCUAUCCUCGUGAUGCUGAAAUGGUUUAGCUUGUAAACAAGCUCUGUCAGCUGCAGAAUGUGAAAUGGGACUUUUGAAGAAGUCAGGAGAGGCAACACACCUCCUGUGUCACAUAACUGAGUGGGAUGUGGGGCCUCCUGCCACCAUACAUGAGGUUCAUUGGGUUCCAUAGAGCUACACGGGUUACAUCUCUGGAUGCUCAAUGCACAAAAGGGUGGAAUUGUGUCAAGGAAGGAUUCAGGGUGCUUUUGGACAGCAGUAAAGCUGCUGGUCUGGAGCGGGGCUGGAGAACUGUGGUGUCCUGAUCCAACUGUGUGUCUGGAUCGUUGUUCUGAGAAAUAGAGUGCUCAACAGUGACUGUCCUGCUAUGGUGCCAUACUGUGCCAUUAACUGAGAUACUGUGCCAUAUCCACAGAGCCUGUCAGUUCAAAAUAAACGUUCCUGAAUACGCAGUUAUUAGAAAUUCCACUAAUGCUAUUAACAGCAGAGCGCAUUUAAACCUUGCAGAAAUACUGUUUUUCUUUCCAAUUUUCUUCCACUGUUGCAAGCUGAAUUCCAGCACGUGCCUUCUAGACAGGCUUUGAAUGCAGAGGUAGGGCACUGGCUUCUUCAUAAUCAGCAACGCUACUUUAUCCGAGGAAAAUAGGAGCAACCAAGAUGCCAUCUAUUCAGCACAGCUCAGCACUCAUUCAUGAGCUCUGAUUCCAAUGUAAUCCCCUUCCAGCACAGAGCCGCUGUGCCUGAGGAUGCAUUCACCUGAGAGCAGGAUCUCAGGACUGAUUCAGUUCCACUGUUUGCACUGGCAUAUUUUAAGAUGCUAAUCCCUGUUUGUAAGCUGUAAUAAAUAGGCAGCAUACUGCUUUAAGCACUAGCUUGGUGGGUAAUGGGAAUGAGUCACAAAGAUAACAUCCUGGUUGUUUGACUGUGAACUAAUACAAGUGAAAAAUGUAAUGAGUUCCUUGUUAAGGGAACACUGUCUUAUUCUGACUGCUGAGACAGGCUCAGUAUUGCUUAUCUAAAAGCAUUAAUCUGAGCAAGGAAUCGAUGCAAGGGUAAAAUUUACUUAAAUGUUUCAACCCGCUUUUGCAGUUCUCCCAAUCCCACUUCUGCAAUCAUCCUUUAAAUGCUCAGGAGCCAAGAUGGAUGUUCCAGAGUCGAUGCUAUACGUGUUCAAAAAGGAAAAGACGUGUUAGGACAAACUUCACCCUAAACCUUUCUGAGAGCUUUAGGAAAUGUAUGUGUAUGUUCUGUGCUGUAGUCCAGAUGCAUCUGCUACAGAGGAGGAAAAAAGCCUUAUUUUUCUGGCCAGGAGCAAAAUUCCUUCUUGCGUGAAAAGCGUCCACGAUCUGGUUUAUACCUAGCAGCAAUAACCAUGGCUUACCGUGUCUUACGUUGCGUUUGGUUUGGUGCCUUUUCACCAACACAACAUUUAUUACUUCCAAAUUAGAGCACUGAGAGCGUUGAGGACUUUUUUUUUUUUUUUUAUCAUUACUAUUUUUUUAAUUGAACCCCUGACAUAAUGUCGGCUGUGAAGUGGUGGGUGGCUUUCAGCAUUUUUGACUGCAUGCAUCCAGGUUGAGGUAGUAGGUUGUAUAGUUUAGAAUUACACCAAGGGAGAUAACUGUACAACCUCCUAGCUUUCCUUGGGUCUUGCACAAAGCGGCGUGAUGAGCGACCAUAAUUCCUCAGCAGUGUUUGCUCUGGACACAUGGAACAGGAAAGAGCAGGUAAGAUGAGCUGGAAAAACUUUUCUUUUGCCUCUCCAGAACUUCACAGAUGUUCGUUCUCUCAGCACUUUCUUUUUUUCUUUUUUUUUAACCUAUUGGUACCAUAUUAUCGAAUAUUUAGCAAAUUCAGUGGACUAGUAAUGCUUGUCUUCCUUUAUUAGCAUUCGAGCAGCUCCAUGUGUUACAUUCCUAAAAAGCACCAUGACAACACAUCAGUGUUAUUGCCUUCAUGGUCAGCAAGCAGAAGUCUCCAAAGGUAACAAGGAAAACGUCCUGCACUGUGUCUGUUACUGAGAUGUGCAAGUGGGUUUCCCCUGGCGUUAGCUGGUGACUGGUUGGGUUAGUUCUGCCCCAGGAGCUGAGCGAGGCCGUGCCAGCAGCAGAGUGAGAGCUGGCACUCCUUGCCUCUCAGAAAGGUAGGAGGCUGGCACUGAUGCUUCCAGAUAAAACCUGUAAGGGUUUGUGUGAAAGUACCUAAAUCUACACAGUCCCCAGGAGAGCUGUUCUUAGGGAAUCUCCAUUAAUGAUUACAGUUAGCUAAAAUGGUGGUUUCCAAGUUUUUUUUUUUUUUUCCUAGGCUUUUACAAUUAAAGUAGGCGUUUCAAAGACUGAUGCUUCUGGUCAUAUCUUGUAAAGGUGGUUUGCUUCUCCAUCGUAUCAGUUUCAUUUAGGACUGCUGCUGUGUGUAUGCUUUAGGCUGCUUUAUUUCUCAGCCCCAUAAAUCUUGUUGGAAGUGCACAUUUUCAGCUGAUGUAAAUCCACAAACUGUGCUGACCCACAUCCAGCACAGAGUUAGUGGACACCACUCUGCAAUGGUCGAUUCUUUACCUGCUUGGUACUUCUCUAGGAAAAACAUUACAUAUUCAUGGUAACGAUUCCCAAAUAAGAACAGCUUGCUUUCCUUUUUGGUGGCAGCAUUGUAGACCUGCUUUGUACAAUUCUGAGGGUACUUUGUGAGGUUGGAAGAUGAUGACUGUGUGUAGUAACACACGUACUUGUGGCUAUCAAACUUAAUGCCAGAUGGAUGUGUAAAUCAAAUAAUCUAUCUGCUCCAAAGAACAAGAGGUAACAAUGAAGAAGGAGGAUGGUCAGUGGUACAGUGGAGUUAACAAUAACCAUAAUUCAGUGUGCAUAUUUUUCUUCCGAACAAAGCAGCAUUCCAGCUUUCCCCCUGAUGAGAGGAAUGUAUUGUCAAUUAAUUAGACUUCCAUCAUAUGUCCUCGGAUGCCCUUCUAUCAUAUGCCUUCCAUAUGUCCUUAUGUCAUAUGCCUUCCAUAUGCCCUCUAUGUAAUUAAGCUUCCAUCAUAUGGCUUCUAUCAUAUGCCAUUUAAGUAGAUUUCCAGGAGAAUGUGGCAGUGUUACAAUUAUGGACCUUUUGCAAUGAGUAAAGGAGCAGCUCAUGAGCUGUAGAUUAGAAGAGGAGGAAGCAAAAGGAAGGUGUCUAGCCCUGAACGGUUCCUUUAAUUGCCAGUCUUGUUUCUCUCUGCUUGCACAAUGAACAGACAGAAGUGUCCUAAUUUCCUUCUCUUCCAUUGCUGUUCCAUUCCUAGUUUUUAUUCAGUUAUUCCUGUGAACAGUAGGAGAGAUAGUAACUGUUUUUCAGAGAACAUUUCCACUGGAAUGUAAAAUGAAAAAGAAACAAUCCACCCCCUAGAAAAUUGUUUGUCCUUUGAUAAUGGAAUCUAAACUUUGAUCUGAUUUUUGUCCUUUUAAGUCUGACAUACGAAGGGAAGUGCUAGAAAUAUCAUGAUGGGAGAAGUAAUGAAAAUGAGAUGGUGCACUUUGUUGGAGCACGCAUCCCUAUUCUCUAUUAUGGGCAAUGAGUGUAAAUAGUGUUGUGCAUUUCUUGGCAUGGUGAUUGCUUGGUGCUAGAUAGUGUAGAAGAAUAUGUAGUGAAAUGGAUUCCAAAUUUACUGUGGCUGACUAAGACCCAAAAUAGGCUCUGCUGCCUGUAUACCUCAUGAAGAAAACCACAAGCAUCCCAGGAGCAAUAAGGUCUUGGAAUGGUUUCCAAUGAAAAGGCAGCUAAUGUGCUCACUUGGUUCAUGUACAUCUCUGUAUCCGUGCCCUCUUCCUUCCCAAAUACUUCUGAGUCCGUAUUCUGUCAAAUUUGAUAGAGCAGCAGUGACUCCUGAGACAGCUGUGCUCCAGCAGGCCGUACAGAAUUUGCAACCAUGCAUCCCGUGUAGUUGGGAGGAUGGCUGGAAGGAUGAGGAGAAGGUAAAAUGCCAUGAGAUGCUCUGAAGUGACAGAACUGUAAGCUGGGGAGCAGUUUGUAGUACGUGUAGGUUUAUCUGGAGCAAGUGGUUGGAAUGAGAACAGUUUGGACAGAUUCCCAUUGACUGGUAGCCAACCCCUGAAGACACUGUGACUUCACUGCUAUUUUAUGUACUUUAAGCAGAUUAAGAUGAUAUUUACCAAAAAAUUGUCCUAUAUUUUGCUAGGUAGACAUAGUGCUAGUCACUACUAGUAAUGUAGGUUCCUCAAAGGUAGGUAAUGGGUCUUACUUUGGUUCUAGGUCACUAGGGAAGUUAUUCUGAAAACUACCUGCUGUGGUCCUGCAGUAUCAUUAUUAGGAUUUGCUGAUGUCACAGUUGUAAACUGCUUACUGAGGAAUGUGUUGGAGCCUCUUAUGGCUCAGCCAUAUCUCUUUCGACACCACUAAUUUAUUUAAAGAAUAAUUAAUAAGGUGUUGUAUUCUACAGUAAUUUCUUGGUUUGCUGGGCAGCAAGGUAUUACUUGAAACAGCACAUUCUUGCAAAUUCUCUUUUGCUUCUGUGUUUUCACAUGGCUGUGAUGGCUGUGAAAGGUGCCAGCCAACAGUGAUGAAGAAGGAAGAACUUUGCUUAUCCACAAAUAAUGGGAUUUGAUUGCAUGCAGCCCCACAAGCAUCUUCUGAGCUGCCUCACAGCUGUCCUUCGAUGGGCCAACCUGUGGCAGUGAGAAGUCUGGGCAGGGCUGUCUCCUGGGCCUUGAAUGCUCAUCCUUUAGAAAGGAAACUGAAAUUCAAAAACUUUCACUGUUGGAGGGAUCUUUUUUUUCCCUUUCUUUCUUUUUUCUUCUUUUUUUUUUUUCCUUAAACAAUGCUUUUCAUCUGCUUCCACACCCAGCUGAAACUAUGCUGCAACACUUCUGCUCCUAAAUCAGAUGCAUUAAGUACAGUCAAAUUUAUACAUAAAAGUUUUGCAAGAACAGGGAUGAAAUAGAAUGGAAUGCCAGAAUGACUCAUUGUUUAAUGAAUAAGGCCCUAAGUGUUCUAUUGAUGCCAUUUAUAAAUCUGUAUAAAAUGUAUAGAAUUCAUGUCAUAACUGGAAUUCCAAGCACAGCAACCUUGUGAACGAAAUUAUGAUGAUGAUAGGGUACUGCACAAAUUAAUAUGAAUUCUAACACGCUUCUGCUUGAAAGCUGCUCAGACAGUUAAAAAUAAGACAAUUUCAUUACAGAGAUUCAAAGCCCGGACCUCAGAAAUGGUCUCCUCUCUUCUUUUGAAGUUGCAAAUUGCUGAAGGAGGGAAGUUCUUUUUGUCUGUGUUCGAGUCACACAGUAUAACCUAUAAGGAAAAAAUACGUCCUUUCCAUUAGAUACAGAUACUGAUUGCAGUGCAGCUGGAAAAUAAAAGAAUUAGGUGCUAGAGACCAGCUCUGCAUUCAGACACUCUAUGUGAAACGAACGGCUUGAGGCAGAGCAGAGAUCUGAGCACACGUCUCUUUUUCACCACCAUUUUUCUUCUCGUUCUCACUUUCACCUUAUCACAGAUUUGCUGUAGGUUUGCAGCUUAGGUAUGAAAGCAGAUGAAGUUCAGCACUUCCAGAGUGAGUUUUCAGCAGACUCCAGUCACAGCCAAACUCCUGGAUGCGUGGUGUUGGGCUGCCAGCAUUUAACUUCCUGAUAAAAACUUCCAAGGGUUGGAAAUUCUGUAUGGCCCAAAAGAUCCAAAGCAUUUUAUUGAGGUGGGGGGGAAUGGCUUCUUUUUUCACAUGUUUCUUUAUUGACCAGAGCAGGACUUCUGGUUGCCCUGACUUCACUGAUCUCCAGGCAGUCCCAGCUGCGUAUAUUUAGCUUCAUAGGUUCAUAAUAUAAAAUGUAUUCUCCCGAAGCAAAUCAGAUUUUUACAUGUGAAAUUAGCCUCUUUGUGCAAUGUCAUGGCCCUGUUUCUUGGUUAAAUAAGUUCAAGAAUCAGGUUUCUGGGGCAGACAGGGAAAGAUUCUGAAAUUCGGUGUUCAACACAGUGCCUCCUGCUUACUUCUAUUUCUCCUUUUUUCCUACUAUAUCUGCAGAAAACAGUUUUGUCUGCAGUUAGGUGCUCCAGCCUUGUCUAAAAUGACAGUUUAAAGGCAGGGUAGCCAAUAUAUGGUCCUCGAUUUCCAUUUUCCAUCUACGUGCUCAGAGAUUCCUGUGUUCAGGUAGCGGAACAACUGCAUCACGCUGCAGAGGAGCAAAUGUUGGGGUGCAGGGCUUCCCCCGUCCCUUUCAGGCUGCUGAGGAUAAACCCACUCCAAGCAUGAGUCACCCCUCUGCCGUUUUCCCCUUCCACCCUUUGCCAAGGUCUGGUGACAUGACUGUGAUUUCUCUUGAGCUUGUCUUUGUUACAGGUGUGACACACGGCUCAUAGGGUUUCAUUAUGGCUUUCAUAAUGUAUUAAUGAAAUGUCAGGAUCAAGUCAUUUAUAAUUAACAGUGACGUGUAAAUGUCAUGUCUAACAAUUGUAGUGUAAGUGUAUUUUUGUGAAUGGGCCAUUUUUUUUACACAUGCAACUGACAGCGUCCAAAAAAGCCUUAACCAGUCAGGCAGACAUUUGGUAAAGACAGACUACUUAUUUAUUUAUUUUCUGCUUCUGCGUUUUCCUCCUUGAAUCUCUGAUAGGCUGUCAGUCCCUGUUGUUCCUAAAUCCAAUAUCAAUUCAGAGCUCAAGCCAUCAAUGGGAGCUUUUUUGAGCAUUCUAGAGCUUGGUCCUGUUAUAAACACGGAGUGGAUGCACCCCUGCACAGUAUGGAUGUGAAAUUCAACUGAGUGCUGUCUGUAUUUUUGGGAGCAAAACCAGUGAGGCAUGCAGAGCAGGAGCUGUGCUACCAAGCCUGAGUGGUUCAAAAAGAUGCCAGCAAAAAUGGGCCUAAGCAUGGAGAUAUCCAAAAUCGGCAUAGUGGAACCAUCGCCAUUAGAAAGGAAAACAAAUUUACAUCAUAAUGAAAAGAAAGGAAAUAAUGAGGAGGUAGAGUGAGAAAUUCUUGUAGUCUUGCAAAGUGAGUACAAGGAGACACGCGGUGAAAGCAAAUGGUGACAAAUUGAAAAUGUUUUAAAAGGCAAUUCUUUUUCACCAGCGCUUAAUUAAAAACGAACCUAAUUGCUUUUAGAAGUUAAUGGGACCAAGAAGUUUGCAAGUCUAGAACAGAACAGGUUAGAUACUAAAGUUUUUAAUAAGCGCAUGCAGAAUUAUGCUAAUGCAGAGCUGAGUUUAGACUUCAUGUUUCAAGACUUGAAGCAUGAGUGAAGUACAGCAGUUCAGGACCAGAAAUGAAGCAGUGCAAAGGACAACUCUUGGUCGUGCAGAGCCACCAACACUUGGAGCAGGUUUGCUAUAGAAGUUUGGAGCAGGUUUGGUAUAGCAGUUUGCAUUCUGUCCCGACCUGCAUCUGUCUCUUGCAAAUUAUUGAACACGUAGCCCACACUGACAAAUAAGACUAAAGGGUUGAUGGAGCAAUAUUGAUAAUAAUUACCCGACAGCAUGGUCCACCUGCAGCUCCUCACAGCUUCUGUGUGUGAUGGGGAAGGUUUAUGUGACCAGUGUACAGUAAGGGGUACAGAGGCAGGUGAAGCUGGCUCUUCCUAAUCGUGCUGCUUGGAAAUCCGUGGCUCUCAGCUUGGUACGAGGUUUGGGGUCGCUCCAUUCAGUCCCUGAAUGCUGUAGGCAAACAGUCUGUAUUCUUUGGCCUUAGUGAGUUGAAAUAAUUGUUGCAAGCAGAAGGUCAAACCCAUUCCUGGGUUAAUGCCCCUGAUGUGGGUGUAUUUUAAAGGGCUGGGUUUUUUCCUUGUGUUUGAAGUGGCUGCUCAUCUCGUCUGAGGAGGAGUAGCAGUUGUGGCUUCAAGAGUGGUUUGCAAUAGUGCUGUUUGUAGUCUGACAAAUGCCACAGCUUCCCCUUGGCUUUCUAUUUCCUCCCAUAAGUGAAAUUGUUAGAUUUGGAGACGGGAUCUUAAAAAAAGAAUGAGGAAGAAAGGAAGAACGGGAAGGAAACGGGAAGGGGGGAAGGCAAGGCACAAUUGCUAUCUGCUACAGAUCUUGUGGUUUGAGUUGAUUUUGGAAAUUGCCUUCCCAGUGGCUUUUGAAAUGUGAGAGGAGAACUUAUGAUUAAGGGAGCUAAGAUAUUUCAGUCACGUGUUUCCCUUCAUUUGUAUGUGAGAAUAGUUACUGAAUAAGAAAUUAAACAGUGUAGGUUCAGUGGAAAAAAUACAAUCAGGGUCUGCUGCUUGCUGUGUUGGUAGUGAUGCUGAAUCACUUCUGUUUGGAGGGUUCUAUCAUCCAUGGCACUGGGCAGUGAGCUCUAAAUGCAGUGCUGCAAUAAAUCAUCAGGGCCCUGUGCUGGUGGCUUUAUUUCCUAAAGGAUCACUCAGAAAUUCAUGUCAAAAUUAGAGACCUGUAGUCUCUUCCUUCUUCAGUGUGAGUGUGGGUUUGUCCUCGUAUACCCUGCUGUGGGGAAGGCUGCUUUUAAAUCUUUAAUGGGGCAUUAGAGCAAUUUGCCUGUGAUUUAGUAAUAAGUGGGCAAGGAGAGUGGUGACAAACGAAGCCGGGAGGCCCUAAAAUUCUUUGAAUAUUCCAUGUUUUCCUGGAACUGUUGGGAAAAGGCUGCCAGAAAGGUCUUGGCAGGUUUUCUAGGUGGCUGGCCAAGUCUGAAGCAAAUGUGGAUAGUUAAUAGGCUAAUGCAGCUCCGGUUCCAAGUCCAUACAUAUAUAACAUACGUUUUUAUUUAAGAAAUCCCACCGCACGGAGGAGCAAAUGUAGUGCUAAUACAUCUUCCUGCAAGAAAAUGGCAAGGGAAAAAACACUGUCAUCUUGCGAAGAUAAAACAAAGGAUCUUUUGCCCUUGCGUUUUGGAGAGUUGAAUUGUGAUUUUAACAAGAGGAGAUCUAGGAAAUGGAAUCAGUAGACAGGCAGUGGCUUUCCCAUGGGGGCCCCAUAUUAAUUGGGAAUGGCUGAUAUAGCAAUAGAUUACAUCUGAGAAAAAUGGCAGGAGUUGUUCAAGGAAUGGAUUUCCAUUGCUAGAUUGUCUGUUCUUUGUUAAAAAAAAUGGUAAUUGAGCAGGAAAGUGAUCAAAUAAUGACGUGGGACCGACUGCUGCAGUUGGUUGCAUGUGGACAACCCCCUCUAGCUCAGAGCUGGAAUCUAUCUGUGGGUCAGCUGUAAAACUUGGGUGUUGCUAAUCAGCCAUCCCAGUGUCAGUUAGUUUGGGAAGGGUUCCUCUGUGCACCAGGCUCGGAAUGUUGGCUCUCUGCAGCUGCAGGCACCCAGGAGUGGAUGUUCACUAUUGUGCCUGGCAUGAGUUUGCUCCUGGGAAACAGGAGUUCAGAUUUCUCUCGGGCAUCAGGUGAAUUAGCUUUGUAAUUUUACAGUCCUCUCCAGUGUGAAGGAUUCUUGUUUGUGCUCAGCUCGUGGGGCUUGUCUUGUUUUAUUAUUAAUGGGGAGAAGGCUGCUGUGCACAGCCUCUGCCAUUAUCAUGGAAGGAUUUAUUUCUUUGAUUAAACUGUUGGUGCAGAUCCUGAAGUUCUGCACCAGACUUCCUGUGGGAUCUCUGAUGAGUCGCUUAUUUUUCUUUGUUUUUACUCACUGUCUCUUAAAUGGAGGUCCUUCUAACGGAGAAGAGGUGCAGCUCAUAUGUGAACUGUUCAGUCUGCCAUGCUGCAUGUCGUGUUGGAACUGCAAGUGAGCAUACUGUAUAUCUGUAUGAAGAUAGAUUUCAUAUGGGCUGCUGCCACGCUGACAUAUACAUUCAUUAGCUAUACAGCCUUAAAGCUGACAAUAUUUAUAAUCGAAUACUACACUGAUAAGAACACAAUCAGCUCGAAAAGGAUGUUGUUAUACUUCGAAAAUCCUAUUUAAAGAAUGUCAUUUAUUGUCAUAAUAGGUUAAGUAACCUCGUAUUCGGAUUGUUUCCCUCGUUUUCUACCUCAUACAAAUGUUACGCUGUCUCUGUGUUGUGAAAACAACUGAAUUUAAACUUAGGAUGUAACAGAGCCUGCACUGCAAUGUUCAGUGAUGCAGAAGUACAGACUGGCACCAGGAGUGGGGAGACUGGCUGCUCUGCUUGCAUCCUGCUGCUAUUUCUGGCAUGCAGAGACUGAGCAGCGUCUGCUGGCCCAAACCUAAGUCCUCAGACACUGCUGCAUCUUCCCCACGUUGUGACAUUCGUGCUCUCUGUCACACACCUCUGACAUGUGGCCUUCUACUUUUUAGUGUUCUCAACACCAGCAAAAACAAGUUAUAAUACUUUAAGAGCUCUGUGUCCAGUUUCACCAAAGGUAAGGGCAACAGGACUUGCAUUCAGCCUUCCCCUGUGUUCAGGUUCCCAAUCCUAUUAUUUGUCUGACAGCGGGACCUAAAUGGCUUGGCAUCCUGUAGAUGCUCUGUGAGAAGAGGCUCCCUGUCCCCAGGAGCUGCAGUCUAAGCAGAUAAGGCCAGCAGGAGAGGGAACACAGAGAGAUGGAGAAACUCACCCAAGCCACUUAGCACGUCGAGUGGCAGUGCUGGGAAUAGGAACAGACCUCAUGAAUUCUCACCACUGUCACCACCACCAAAAAUAUUUUGGUCUUCUACCUUUUGGUUUAACUCUUAAGCAAUAGAUGAGACAAAUAUUUUCGUUGCUGUUGGGAGAAAUAUGCCUCCCUUUGUUUAAUUUUUAUUUUAUUUUUUCAAAUUGUGGCAAGCGUGGGCCAUAGCUGGAGGACAAGAACACCUGGAAAACAAUUUUUUGUUUAUCUUUGAAAUAACUCCAGCCUCUCUUUAAAAAGAAAGUCAUUGCUGGUGAAAAAGGCUGUGACAGGAGGUCUGGGGGAUGUGUAGGAUGACUCUGCUCCGAGGUCCUUCUGCUCCUUAUAACCUAUCAGGGCUCUCUACAAACAUAAAUUAUGGCUCAGAGAUAUUUCUUUCUCAUACGAAAUAGAUAUGUUACUUAUUUUGGUUUUAUGCAGGGAAAAAAUGGGCGCAGACUGGGGAUCCACAGUGGCUUCAUGGAGGAGAAAUAAUAGAUCUCUGGACUGCAGCAGGCAGCAAGCGAGGCUUUCCAUCUCGGUACAGUGUGACCUGUACACUUUUUGCCUAUUGAAAUAUAAUUCCUUCUAGCUCCGGUUUUAGCUUCAUGGAUUUCUAAUUUUAAUUUAAUUUUCUACUCUUCCUGCUGGGUCAGAUUCCUAAAAUGUCACUAAACUUUGUGCCUGUUACUGACGUUGGAUCUGGGUUCAGUCGUUUAGAUUCUAAUUGAGUAUUCUCAGUCUGUGUUUUGCUUUUAGUGACUUCUAGGGGAAGAGGAAAAAAAGAAAAAGAGUUGAUUAAUUAAGGGACAUCACCUUUUUCAUGCAUUGAUUCUAUUUAAAUUUCAAACAGAUUUAAAUAAAAAGCGUUAAACGUUCACCAUAGGUUAACAGACUAAUAAAACUCCAUCAGUUAGUAAGUGAAGUGCCUAAAAAUCUGUCAGACUGUUGGUAUGGGACCUCAGAUCUUAAGGAGUAUUACCACCAGCUCAGAAGCAAUUAGAUUUAUCUGAAAUGUUAGUGAGUUUCUUGGAGCUGUGGUCAUGUUUUCUGUGAAUCAAGCCUUAAGCGAAACUCCUGGUGGACCAGAAGCCAUGUGAAAUACGAGGGUUUUCAGGUGCUUGAUGUGGUAUGGAAAUGGCAAAUCAUGCAGGAAUAGAUGUUAAACAUCAGUGCGUGACUUCAUCCAAACGAGUUCAAGUUUCGUCUUGAGUUUUGGAGUUUGGUUAAAUCCAGUAUGUGCAGAAGAGCUCACAUCCGAAGGCAGACUGGAAACUCCCCAUGGACAAAACACACAUAACUCCAGGUACUGCGUUCCUGCUUCUCAUGCUUUUUCUUUGAUAGUGAAUGAAUUAAUCUCUGUUACAUCCACUGACCUUUUGUUGAACCCUUCCCAUUUUCCCAAACUUGGUUUCUGCACGGAAUGAUGCAGAAUUCCAAAACUGCCGUGCCUGGAAGUGAACAACUCUGCCUUAUUUAGCUUUUUCCUUGCUUUUCUCACCCUAGGAUAAAUUGUUUCAUGGCUUUGUCCAUAAAAAAAUAUGGCUUAGUCCAUAAAAUAAUGUAUUAUUUUAACUGUCCUCCAUUAUCUAGAGGUUGAAAGAUUCGGAGCUCAAACAACCUUUUAGAAACAUGUCAGCAGAAUUGGAGUCAGGUAGAAAAAAUACAACCAUCCCCUCUCUAUGCCGAAUCGCUGUCAGGAUAGACCUUGUUGGGUCUGCAGGUGAGAGCUGAUGGGUGGGUUGGGUUAAAAGGAUUUAUUGGGGAUGAAAUGGAGUUUUAGGACCAUCAGCCAUACUGCAUCCUUUUUGUCAACUAACAGGGUUGAGGAUAACAAGAGUAAUCUGGACAGAGCAGCUUUCUUCCAAGGACCUCACAACUCUCUGUGGACAUGCUUCUCUCUGCAAAAUGGCUCUCACUCCAUUUCUGUGAGAACUCUUCCCGCAAACCGGGUCCCUAAGAGGAUUAGUGAAGGGGA
Phasianus colchicus (ring-necked pheasant) is the source of this 20835-nucleotide RNA transcript. RefSeq lists it as uncharacterized. The record is from RefSeq and is a predicted model, not a curated record. Lineage: Eukaryota; Metazoa; Chordata; Aves; Galliformes; Phasianidae.